This 76-nucleotide transfer RNA is filed under the name Oscillospiraceae bacterium. RNAcentral describes it as "tRNA-Thr". It matches the Rfam family "tRNA". From Rfam's summary of the family: Transfer RNA (tRNA) molecules are approximately 80 nucleotides in length. Their secondary structure includes four short double-helical elements and three loops (D, anti-codon, and T loops). Lineage: Bacteria; Bacillati; Bacillota; Clostridia; Eubacteriales; Oscillospiraceae. The record is from RNAcentral.
GCUGAUGUAGCUCAGUAGGUAGAGCGCAUCCUUGGUAAGGAUGAGGUCGCCGGUUCAACUCCGUUCAUCAGCUCCA